RNAcentral lists this ribosomal RNA (491 nucleotides) under uncultured bacterium. RNAcentral describes it as "partial 16S ribosomal RNA". It matches the Rfam family "Bacterial small subunit ribosomal RNA", at positions 29 to 507 of the family's 1533-position model. The record is from RNAcentral.
GUGAACGCUGGCGGUAGGCCUAACACCUGCCAGUCGAACGGCAGCACCGUAAGAGCUUGCUCUUACGGGUGGCGAGUGGCGGACGGGUGAGGAAUACAUCGGAAUCUACUUUUUCGUGGGGGAUAACGUAGGGAAACUUACGCUAAUACCGCAUACGACCUACGGGUGAAAGCAGGGGAUCUUCGGACCUUGCGCGAUUGAAUGAGCCGAUGUCGGAUUAGCUAGUUGGCGGGGUAAAGGCCCACCAAGGCGACGAUCCGUAGCUGGUCUGAGAGGAUGAUCAGCCACACUGGAACUGAGACACGGUCCAGACUCCUACGGGAGGCAGCAGUGGGGAAUAUUGGACAAUGGGCGCAAGCCUGAUCCAGCCAUACCGCGUGGGUGAAGAAGGCCUUCGGGUUGUAAAGCCCUUUUGUUGGGAAAGAAAAGCAGCAGGUUAAUACCCCGCUGUUCUGACGGUACCCAAAGAAUAAGCGCCGGCUAACUUCGUG